UAUAUGCUGCAGCAAGGGCACGUUUAUCAGUAGAAAUUGUUUCAGCUUGCUCCAUAUUAGUACUCGAGUGAGAUUCUUUUGUAGCAGUUGCAGCAGAAUAUACAUUAGAUGAGCCAUAAGCAUCUGAAUUUUUCUGCGCCAAGUCUAAUGAUCUCGUAAUUGGAGGAA
This is a long non-coding RNA of Amblyraja radiata (thorny skate), 168 nucleotides long. RefSeq lists it as uncharacterized. The transcript has 3 exons. The record is from RefSeq and is a predicted model, not a curated record. NCBI's taxonomy places the organism in Eukaryota, Metazoa, Chordata, Chondrichthyes, Rajiformes, Rajidae.